ACUCAAAGGAAUAGACGGGGACCCGCACAAGCGGUGGAUUAUGUUGUUUAAUUCGAUGCUACGCGAGAAACCUUACCGACCCUUGACAUCCCCAACGCGAUUUCCAGAGAUGGAUUUCUUCAAUUCGGUUGGUUGGGUGACAGAUGCUGCAUGGCUGUCGUCAGCUCGUGUCGUGAGAUGUUAGGUUAAGUCCUGCAACGAGCGCAACCCACGCCAAAUGUUGCCAGCGGGUAAUGCCGGGAACUCUUUUGGGACUGCCUACGUCAAGUAGGAGGAAGGUGUGGAUGAUGUCAAGUCAUCAUGGUUCUUACGGGUCGGGCUACAAACGUAAUACAAUGGCGUUAACAGUGGGUCGCAAUACAGCAAUGUAAAGCCAAUCCUCAAAUAACGCCCCAGUUCAGAUUGUCCUCUGCAACUCGAGGGCAUGAAGUCGGAAUCGCUAGUAAUCGCUGAUCAGAAUGCAGCGGUGAAUACGUUCCCGGGUCUUGUACACACCGCCCGU
Molecule: ribosomal RNA, 502 nt
Filed under: uncultured bacterium
Lineage: Bacteria
Description: bacterial SSU rRNA
Rfam family: Bacterial small subunit ribosomal RNA
Source: RNAcentral